CGCACAUUGCGCCCCUUGGUAUUCCGGGGGGCAUGCCUGUUCGAGCGUCAUUUCAACCCUCAAGCUCUGCUUGGUCUUGGACCUGUGCCAGCGAUGGCAGGUUCUAAAAUCAGUGGCGGUGCCGUUGGGUCCUGAGCGUAGUAAUACUUCUCGCUACGGGAGUCCCGCGUGCGUCUGGCCAUAACCCCAAUUUUUUCAGGUUGACCUCGGAUCAGGUAGGGAUACCCGCUGAACUUAA
This 238-nucleotide unclassified non-coding RNA is filed under the name Lambertella corni-maris. RNAcentral describes it as "partial contains 5.8S ribosomal RNA, internal transcribed spacer 2, and large subunit ribosomal RNA". The record is from RNAcentral. Lineage: Eukaryota; Fungi; Ascomycota; Leotiomycetes; Helotiales; Rutstroemiaceae.